GCGGGUCCGAGUCGGCGGCCCUGCGCGGAGGCCGGGCGCCGCUGGCCCAUGCUGCCUGCAGGCUGCGGCGGGCGGCUGGCGGCGGCGCUGACGGCGGCCCUGGACGACGGCGCCGAGCGGCGGCGGGAGCUGGAGCAGCAGGCGACGCGGGGCCGGGCCCUGCUGGGGCGCUGGGACGUCGCAGAGGAGGAGCAGCGGCAGGCGGGCAGCAGCCCCAGCAGUGGGCAAGAGAGCAGGCCUUCACCCAAAGAGCUGGAGAAGCUGGAGCUGCUGAACAGGGCCUUAGAGAAGGCAUUGAAAGUCAGGAAAAGCAUCCUAAAAACUCCGCUAGAGGCCCAGGGAGUUAAAGAAGGAGAGAAAACUGCAAAUGAGGGACCUGCUCCCAAGAAUACUCAAGUGCAGCAAGUGCCAGUAUCUAGUGAGAGUGUUCCUGUGACUACCAAGGUGAGAGCUGUAAGCAAAAAGCCUACCUCUUCUAAAAAGCCCUCCUCAUACCUGCUAGCAGCCCCUUAUAAGACAGACCCAGUUGUGAAAAAAACGCAUAAGAAAGUCCCAGCCAGAUGUGUCUCUCAAGCUCCUAGAACAGCUGGGAAGAGCCCUUCAAAAGUGGUAUCUUCCAAGCAAGCAAGGAGACAUAGGCUAGCAGUCAGUGCCAGUAACCAAGAAGUCUGUGCUGCAGCUGAAUCCCAAAAGACAACUGGCUUGUCCAAAUGUGCCCUGCUUGAGCAGCAGAGUAUCUCCAUAGGGGAUUCAGCCAGGGGAAAGAACUCAAUAGCUGCUGGCAGGCAGCUAUUUGAUGCAGGGAAGGAAGGUUGUGGUUCCCUGGGAGAGUCCAGCAGAAAGGAGGACCAUACAACUGAAGAUGCUUUGGGAAGGAACAGCUCACCUCAGACAGACACCCUCCAGGAAAAGGGAUCCCGGCUGAAGUUUCCCCUUCCCUACAGGAAAGCCUAUUCCAGGAACUCCAGGGCUUGGGAGAAUUAUCGUCUCUGUCAGUCAAGUGCAGAUACAGCAGCUGUGAGGAACCGUUUUAUAGAGAGAAUCCAGACAACUUUUUGUUCACCGAUGCCAGCCUUCAGUCCUGCAGAGAUAGAGGAGGAUUUAAAGGUCCUACAGGAUGUCCCCUCCCUUUUAAGCCAGUGUGUGGAAGCUGAGCAUGCAGACCAUCUCACACUGCAAAGAGAGUAUGAAAGCCUUCUAACCCUGGAGGGUUUGCAAACCAUAGCAUCUCAAUGCUUACAUAAGCUGCAGCUUCUGCGAGAAGCUGCAGAGUCCCAGAUGAGGCUGUGUCCAGACUGCAAUGGGGAUGCAGGAAGCUGCUGUCCAGACUAUGUUCCUCCUACGGGUCAGGCAUGUGGCAGUACAGGUGUGUUGGCUGUGCCUCUCCUCUGUUACUCCAGUUUCCAGGAGCUGAGGGACCUGUUUGCCUUGAAGAUGCAAGUAUCAAUGCUGAACCAGGAAAUUGCCAUACAAAAGGUCAUGAUGGCAGAACUCCUGCCUGUUUUGGAAUCCAGACUUCACCCAGAGGCUUCUGCAGUUCAGCUGUAUCGGGCAAUUUACACACAGCUCUGUGAAGGUGGCAAGCGAUUCCCUGUGCUGGUGAGAGAUGAGCUGGCAGAAUGAUUCUGUGUGACCCUCCUGCUGGCCAUUCAUACAACCAGAGGCAGUUCUAACACACCUCUCAUUAGCUUCAGCAUUGUGAAUUUGCAGAAUUUCUGAAAAUCAGACCGCAGAAUACAGAAUUCUACAUCCUGAAAAUGAGAAAUGCUGGGCACGCGCAACUGUUUUUCCUUGAUGACCGAUGCAGGGAUAUACGUGAAUUUUGUAACAGAGGAAGAAAUGUUCUCUAGAGUAGCAUUUGAUUAGCUUUGCCCUAAAAUGUUAUUUGUCCUACCGGAUGAUAUUUCCUGUUCUUGUUUCUAAGCCUGUUACCUUCUAGUUUCUGGAAGAAAUAAGACACAGUUCCUCCAUGUAGAAACCCUCUGUCCUAUGCAGUCAGGAUCACAUCGCUGAGUGCUUUCGGUGUAGGUAUUUCUGAAUCCAAUCUGUGAAUUCUUAAUAUUUUCCUUUGGCCUCCAAAUCAUUUUGGCUUUCAGUAACCUACUAAACUUUUAACCUUUUCAAAACUGUCAGGAGGACAUGGAAUUGCCUUCAGUACCUCACUCCUCUCCUGGGCCUCCCCACUUGCUGCUGAUGGUGGUUGGCAUCAUAUUUGAUUCUGAACUUUCUUAUUUAAGAAUGGAGUAAUUAAUCUGUUUUCAGCUCAUCUUGGCUCCCUUAUCCUUUCUUACUUCCAGUUUAUUUCCCUUGAGGAAUCUGGAAUUCUUGCUCAAAAUACAAGCUUUUCUAAGCCCAUCAGACCCAUUAACACUCUGUUUUUUUCCCGCACCUCUGAAGCUGACAAUCGCAGGGAUUUCUGUUCCCAGG
Molecule: RNA transcript, 2427 nt
Organism: Rhea pennata
Lineage: Eukaryota; Metazoa; Chordata; Aves; Rheiformes; Rheidae
Gene: TEDC2
Gene name: tubulin epsilon and delta complex 2
Exons: 11
Source: RefSeq, a predicted model, not a curated record